CAAAAUAAGAUAUUUUAAAGAAUGUUCCAGGUAACCUUUGACUUCAUUUGUAUAGACAAAAUGUAUAGACAUUUUUCAAAAUAUAUUUUUAUGUUCCACAGAAGAAAAAAAUUCAUACAGGUUUGGAACGGCAUGAAGGUGUGGUGGAGUAUCUAAGUAAUGGUGGAGUUGCAGAAAAUCACAAAGACUUUAAGGAACUGCGUUACAGUGAUUGUUUAAACCAACUUCAGUUGCAACGGCAAAAACGGCAAGCCCGAUGGCAGCAUCACACACAGUUUCCAGCUGAAGAGUGCCUACGAGGGGAAUUCUCAUGCCCUACACCAACUACACUUAUGAAUUCAAGGGCGUGAUUGACUACAUCUUCUUCUCUAGGACACACAUGCGUGUUCUGGGCGUUCUGGGUCCACUGGAGACUCAGUGGCUGAAGGACAACAACA
Cyprinus carpio (common carp) is the source of this 437-nucleotide long non-coding RNA. RefSeq lists it as uncharacterized. NCBI's taxonomy places the organism in Eukaryota, Metazoa, Chordata, Actinopteri, Cypriniformes, Cyprinidae. The record is from RefSeq and is a predicted model, not a curated record. The transcript has 3 exons.